RNAcentral lists this non-coding RNA (21 nucleotides) under Caenorhabditis elegans. Lineage: Eukaryota; Metazoa; Nematoda; Chromadorea; Rhabditida; Rhabditidae. The record is from RNAcentral.
UUAUGACAUGUUCCUAGUUCA